CUAGACUCUAAGACCUAUACACACAGUAAUCAGCCGAUAACACCGGAGACCUAUACAAACCGCUGUUUCCUAAUCAAAGAGAACGGAUUCUGGGCUUCUCCUUCACAUUUUUCAAGAGGUAGCUUCAUCUUCAAAAAAGAGAAAACAAAAAAGAAGCGCAGCCAUUUUUUGAACUUUAGAGACCAAACGCUAAAGACCAAAAAAAAGGUUUAAGCACAAAAGGCAUAGUUGAUGCUCUCUUCGUCUUCCUCCUCCAGUAGCUCGCCGGAAAAACGAGUUCCAGCAGCUCAACGGAUUAACAAGCUCCAGCCGAGCAACAACGAAAUAGGACACCCAAAAAACCAGUCCACCCCCUGAACCUCUGCGACACCGACCAGCUACGAUCACAACGACCCCAUUCCUUGCUUUUCCUCACUCUGUUUCGCUGCUGAAUACUCUAGCGACAGAUCUGGCCAGAUUUUACAUUUUUUCGGCGACCUCCAUUAAAAUUGAUGGAGUUUCAUUUGAGUCGAGUUUUUCCGGUUUGAGAUGCUGACUGACAACCACUGUGCUCAUUUAUAGGCGUUCAUCUUCUCAUCUGUUUCAUUUUGUUUUGUUGAUUUUGGUGCUGGCACCUUGAGUACCUUUUCUAGGUCUUGAGGUUUACUGGAAAUAUCUUAGAUUGAGCUGA
Nicotiana tabacum (common tobacco) is the source of this 670-nucleotide long non-coding RNA. RefSeq lists it as uncharacterized. The record is from RefSeq and is a predicted model, not a curated record. NCBI's taxonomy places the organism in Eukaryota, Viridiplantae, Streptophyta, Magnoliopsida, Solanales, Solanaceae.